UACGGGGGGGCAAGCGUUGUUCUGAAUUACUGGGCGUAAAGGGCGCGUAGGCGGGUUUCCAAGUCGGGGGUGAAAUUCCAGGGCUCAACCCUGGGACGGCCUUCGAUACUGGGAGCCUGGAGAUCGGGAGAGGUGAGUGGAAUUCCGAGUGUAGAGGUGAAAUUCGUAGAUAUUCGGAGGAACACCAGUGGCGAAGGCGGCUCACUGGUCCAUUACUGACGCUGAGGUGCGAAAGCGUGGGGGGCAAACAGG
This 252-nucleotide ribosomal RNA is filed under the name uncultured bacterium. RNAcentral describes it as "partial 16S ribosomal RNA". It matches the Rfam family "Bacterial small subunit ribosomal RNA", at positions 524 to 776 of the family's 1533-position model. The record is from RNAcentral.